AGGUAAAGGUGAAAAUGAUGUGCUGUCAGCUGUGAAAUGAGAAAGCCUUCCAUCAGACCCUGGAAAAGAUGUAAAGAGCUGUACUUCAGAAAAAUAUUGGAGAAAAGUACAAAUCUUAAAAAAAUUUUUUUGAGUAGUGCAUUUCAUCAGCAGAUGCUGUCAAUUUUGUUAUACUGGUAACAGAUAUCUAUGGAAAAUGAAAUUCUCAACAGCACAUUGCCAG
Molecule: long non-coding RNA, 223 nt
Filed under: Homo sapiens (human)
Lineage: Eukaryota; Metazoa; Chordata; Mammalia; Primates; Hominidae
Description: HSALNT0209182
Source: RNAcentral